UGGCUGAGUUGCUCUAUGAUACCGAGGCUUCGGAUGAGAUUCUCCCUUUGUAGCAGGGCCUUCAUCCGCUCCAGCUCCUCCUCUUCCACGAUUUCUUGAGGAUGCAUGGUAUCCACGUGUACGGGGAGCAGCUGCGAGGUGUCUGGCUUCCUCUCUACCCUGCUGGCGAGCAGUUCAGCUUCAGGAUAUGCCCCCGCCCCCCAAGUGGACAGAGGACAAGGUAAGGCAAAGUACCUGGCACACUCCUCUCUAGCCUUGGAAGCAGCAGUCUCCUGGAAGAGGGAGCCGUUGUGCUUGAAGAAGGGUGCGUACUUGUCCGUGUUAGGCCCAGGAUAGAUCCGCCGGUACCCCCCGAGGUGGGAGUCCUCAUGGCGCUCCUGGUCCAGUAUCGCUGCUUGCGACAGUUCAGUUUGUUCUCGCCUAGGGAAACCAAGCUCCAGAGUGAGUCGGGAGGGCUCUGAGAAUGUUCAGUGGGGAAAAGAAGGCCGGCCAAGGCUUUGAGAACCUUCUGCUAGCUUCACGGCCUUUCUGGCCUCUGCCCACGUAGCGAGGGCUGCGAAGGCCCUCUGGCCAAUCCCGCUUGUGUGUAGCCACGGAAAUCUGGGCUUGACUUCCAGAAAUCUGGUUUUCAUCUUAAGUGCACGCUAGCACUCCAAGUUCUCACAGUCUUUUAGGUUUCUGAUCAUAGAGUAAUCUAUGUUAAUUACAGAAAAAUGUAGAAGAGCAAAAAGAAGAUAAAACCUCCCAUAAUCUUACUGUGCAGUUAGCAUAUUGGUCAUGAGCAUGGACUCAGGGGCGGGACCCCCGAGUCUGAACCCUGGCUUUGCCACCGACUACCUUCCUUUCUGGUUUCUGACAAAAAUGGGAUCAUACAACCUUGCUAAAUGGCUUCCUAGUAGUCACGUGGUUCUGUGAUUGUACUUUCAUUUAUGAAGUCCAGUAGUUGUGAACCCUUUUCCCCACUGAAAGACAUCACUCAUGAUAUAAUAGGCACAUGUGCAGCCCCACUGUGGGAAGAGCCAGCGUAUUUCCAGUGACAGUCCUGCUUCCCCUCCAUUCACACAUGAGAGCGCCUACUAUGUGCCAGGCCCUCAGGAUAUCCUAGCAAACCAAAUACACACGGGCCUGCAUAUUGCAACCCCGGUGGGGAAGAGCACUGUAAUAGGAAUGCUUCCAAUUCCACUCCAUUUGUAUGUGUUAUUUAGUAUCGGCAGCAAAUCACCGUGUUGGUAACCCAUCUUAAAACAACAGUGGGUGAAAGACGCUGAUUUAAAUAACCUCUUAUUGUUGCAUGA
This is a long non-coding RNA of Felis catus (domestic cat), 1295 nucleotides long. RefSeq lists it as uncharacterized. Lineage: Eukaryota; Metazoa; Chordata; Mammalia; Carnivora; Felidae. The record is from RefSeq and is a predicted model, not a curated record. The transcript is spliced from 2 exons.